GCUUAGAGUCACUUUUUUCCACACCAAGAUGAUAAAUGCAUCCACCCAGAUUUUAUUCCAAUAUGUACACGGUUUUAUGUUUGUUCAGUCCCUGAUCCAUCUAGAAUUUAUUUAUUUAAUUUAUGUGUAGGGUUUUCCUUCAGUGCAUCAUCAUAUUAAACCAUCCCCCCCCCCACAAAUAUGAAGUGCUACCUUCACCGUUUAUCCAAGUGCCAUGUGGACGCUACUCUAAGGGAGGGGACACACCCUGUGGCACAUCACACAUCUUAGAGUGGUUCGGGCCUGCGGGGAAGCACAACUGUGGGUAAGAGGCAGAAGGUGCCUCUGUGUGCAGCUGUCCGAUGGAGACCGGGGGUUGGGGUUCAUGGAUGACGUCAUAAUCAGUGGGGGAGUUCUGUUCGGAACCUCAGAGACGUUAGGCGAGGCCUCUGAGCUACUUCUGUGGACUGCUGCACUCUGAAGACAAGCCUACUUCUCUGGCUCCUUUGGACGCUGUCGCUGAGUCAGUGCAGGGCUAGGUAGCGAGCAGCAGUGAGCCCCGGACAAAGCCCCUGCCUCGCACUGCUGACACCUUCACCAGGAAAACACAUAGGAUCAAAUAAACACGGAACAGAAAUCCCAAAGUCCAUCCUGAUGAAGUGUGUGCGGGAAGACGGAGCAGGAGGGGUCGGGGAGCCAAAGACUCCAGCCGGGAACACAGGCUUGGUAAGCGGAAAUCGGGCUGAGGUGGGGCGACCGGGAGGAGAGGGUAGGGCAGGGGGGCAGGGGCGCAAGGGGGCUCUUCUGUGCCUUAGAGCAAAGCCCGGAGGAGGCCGGGACACCAGGCUGCGGGGGUGCGCGGGGAGGCCCCGCGGGGCAGAGAGCACUGUGACUUCUGGGAUGGAUGAGGCAGGGAGUAUAAAAGGAGAAUGGAGGGUGACAGCCCAGGUUUGGGGGAGAACAAGAGCUGUGAGCUGCAGCCUUGGGUAGGGAGGCCGGGGGUGG
Molecule: long non-coding RNA, 984 nt
Filed under: Vulpes vulpes (red fox)
Lineage: Eukaryota; Metazoa; Chordata; Mammalia; Carnivora; Canidae
Description: lncRNA (ENSVVUG00000020725.1)
Source: RNAcentral